CUUAUCUGUGGCAGUCAAGGAAAACAGACGGGAUAUUGUCCAUCUCAUUCUUCAAGUCAUACAAGGCAUUCCUUGUCACGCUACUCGAAAAGACAAAAUGAACCACACAAAGUCUUCUAUUAGGAGCCCACUGUACGAGGCAUGUCGGAAGGUGAGGGGAGACUACGUACUGCUCCUUUUAGCCAAUGGGGCAACAACUGUACCGCAAGGUGAACAAGGAGAUACUGCUCUAGAUGCAAUUCUAGAGCCCUUAUGGAUCUCUCCGGAACACCUCGAAGCCAGGCUCCAAUGCCUGCAUUACUUGUUGUGGUU
Pelobates cultripes (western spadefoot toad) is the source of this 312-nucleotide non-coding RNA. NCBI's taxonomy places the organism in Eukaryota, Metazoa, Chordata, Amphibia, Anura, Pelobatidae. The record is from the annotation of a GenBank genome assembly.